Molecule: ribosomal RNA, 207 nt
Filed under: uncultured bacterium
Lineage: Bacteria
Description: partial 16S ribosomal RNA
Rfam family: Bacterial small subunit ribosomal RNA
Source: RNAcentral
CUCGUAGGCGGUUCGUCGCGUCCGGUGCGAAAGUCCAUCGCUUAACGGUGGAUCUGCGCCGGGUACGGGCGGGCUGGAGUGCGGUAGGGGAGACUGGAAUUCCCGGUGUAACGGUGGAAUGUGUAGAUAUCGGGAAGAACACCAAUGGCGAAGGCAGGUCUCUGGGCCGUUACUGACGCUGAGGAGCGAAAGCGUGGGGAGCGAACA